Molecule: ribosomal RNA, 492 nt
Filed under: uncultured bacterium
Lineage: Bacteria
Description: partial 16S ribosomal RNA
Rfam family: Bacterial small subunit ribosomal RNA
Source: RNAcentral
AGUGAACGCUGGCGGUAGGCCUAACACAUGCAAGUCGAACGGCAGCACAGUAAGAGCUUGCUCUUACGGGUGGCGAGUGGCGGACGGGUGAGGAAUACAUCGGAAUCUACUUUUUCGUGGGGGAUAACGUAGGGAAACUUACGCUAAUACCGCAUACGACCUACGGGUGAAAGCAGGGGAUCUUCGGACCUUGCGCGAUUGAAUGAGCCGAUGUCGGAUUAGCUAGUUGGCGGGGUAAAGGCCCACCAAGGCGACGAUCCGUAGCUGGUCUGAGAGGAUGAUCCGCCACACUGGAACUGAGACACGGUCCAGACCCCUCCGGGAGGCAGCAGUGGGGAAUAUUGGACAAUGGGCGCAAGCCUGAUCCAGCCAUCCCGCGUGGGUGAAGAAGGCCUUCGGGUUGUAAAGCCCUUUUGUUGGGAAAGAAAAGCAGCAGGUUAAUACCCCGCUGUUCUGACGGUACCCAAAGAAUAAGCACCGGCUAACUUCGUG